RNAcentral lists this ribosomal RNA (399 nucleotides) under Valsonectria roseola. RNAcentral's name for it is "Acremonium roseolum partial small subunit ribosomal RNA". It matches the Rfam family "Eukaryotic small subunit ribosomal RNA", at positions 30 to 432 of the family's 1831-position model. Lineage: Eukaryota; Fungi; Ascomycota; Sordariomycetes; Hypocreales; Valsonectriaceae. The record is from RNAcentral.
GCUUGUCUCAAAGAUUAAGCCAUGCAUGUCUAAGUAUAAACGACUUUAUACUGUGAAACUGCGAAUGGCUCAUUAUAUCAGUUAUAGUUUAUUUGAUGGUCCUUGCUACUUGGAUAACCGUAGUAAUUCUAGAGCUAAUACAUGCUAAAAACCCCAACUUCGGAAGGGGUGUAUUUAUUAGAUUAAAAGCCAAUGCCCUUCGGGGCUCAAUGGUGAUUCAUAAUAACUUCACGGAUCGCACGGCCUUGCGCCGGCGAUGGUUCAUUCAAAUUUCUUCCCUAUCAACUUUCGAUGUUUGGGUCUUGGCCAAACAUGGUGGCAACGGGUAACGGAGGGUUAGGGCUCGACCCCGGAGAAGGAGCCUGAGAAACGGCUACUACAUCCAAGGAAGGCAGCAGG